This 254-nucleotide ribosomal RNA is filed under the name uncultured bacterium. RNAcentral's name for it is "partial 16S ribosomal RNA". It matches the Rfam family "Bacterial small subunit ribosomal RNA", at positions 524 to 776 of the family's 1533-position model. The record is from RNAcentral.
UACGGGGGGAGCAAGCGUUGUUCGGAUUUACUGGGCGUAAAGGGCGCGUAGGCGGUCGUGACAAGUCACUUGUGAAAUCUCCGGGCUUAACUCGGAACGGUCAAGUGAUACUGUCGGACUAGAGUACAGAAGGGGCAACUGGAAUUCUCGGUGUAGCGGUGAAAUUCGUAGAUAUUCGGAAGAACACCAGUGGCGAAGGCGGCUCACUGGCCCGGUACUGACGCUGAGGUGCGAAAGCGUGGGGAGCAAACAGG